AUACUUACCUGGACGGGGUCGACGGCCGAUCAAGAAGGGCCGUGGCCUACAUCAAUGGCUCACAUUGCACUUGGUGAGCGCGUUGGUUUACCAUCUCCCCAAGUGGGAGAGUGGACGUCAUAAUUUGUGGUAGAGGGGGUACGCGUUCGCGCGGCCCCUG
Non-coding RNA from Oryza glumipatula, 160 nucleotides. The record is from Rfam. Lineage: Eukaryota; Viridiplantae; Streptophyta; Magnoliopsida; Poales; Poaceae.